GACGAACGCUGGCGGCGUGCCUAAUACAUGCAAGUCGAACGCUGAAGGAGGAGCGUGCGCUUCUGGAUGAGUUGCGAACGGGUGAGUAACGCGUAGGUAACCUGCCUGGUAGCGGGGGAUAACUAUUGGAAACGAUAGCUAAUACCGCAUAAGAGUAGAGGUUGCAUGACAUUUACUUAAAAGGUGCAAUUUCAUCACUACCAGAUGGACCUGCGUUGGAUUAGCUAGUUGGGGGGGUAACGGCUUACCAAGGCGACGAUACAGAGCCGACCUGUGGGGGGGAUCGGCCACACUGGGACUGAGACACGGCCCAGACACCUCCGGGAGGCAGCAGUAGGGAAGCUGCGGCAAUGGACGGAAGUCUGACCGAGCCACGACGCGGGAGUGCCGAAGGGUUUCGGAUCGUCAAGCUCUGUUGUAAGUGAAGAACGAGUGUGAGAGUAGAAAGUUCACACUGUGGCGGUAUCUUAUCAGAAAGAGACGGCUAACUACGUG
RNAcentral lists this ribosomal RNA (495 nucleotides) under uncultured bacterium. Its description in RNAcentral is "partial 16S ribosomal RNA". It matches the Rfam family "Bacterial small subunit ribosomal RNA", at positions 28 to 507 of the family's 1533-position model. The record is from RNAcentral.